AACGAACGUUGGCGGCGUGCCUAAUACAUGCAAGUCAACUGAAGCACGGUAGCAAUACUGUGUGGAGGUGGCGCACGGGUGAGUAACACGUAGGUAAUCUGCCUUCAGGUCUGGCAUAACCCCGGGAACCGGGGACGUAUAGCAGAUGAUGCAGCGGCGUUGUACAUCAAGACAGUUGUUAAAGACUACCGAGCAAUCGGCGGCGCCUGAAGAUGAGCC
This 219-nucleotide ribosomal RNA is filed under the name uncultured bacterium. RNAcentral's name for it is "partial 16S ribosomal RNA". It matches the Rfam family "Bacterial small subunit ribosomal RNA", at positions 29 to 231 of the family's 1533-position model. The record is from RNAcentral.